AAACAUUUCAGGCAGAUGAUGCAGGACAUUGGUCAGCAGUUAACACCGAAAGGUCUUAUCUCCUCUUGGUUAAUAUUCAUGAAUAUGCUGCUGUGUCUCAGAAUAUGUUCAUGUUGGAAAAGUAACUAAAAACUACAUUACACUAAUUAUAUUUUAAUAGAUUUCAGCCUCAUUCAAGAUGAAAGGCGGGACAGAUGUCCUCCCAGGUAUAAUAGUGUUGUUUGAUCAAAGACUAAUGAAAAACAGUCCUGGAUGCAAUCAACAAAGUUUAAAUUCUUAUUGCAAAAAUCACUUUCCUCCACAAAAUGUCCAUCCUUCCCUAAAUCAGCAGUGGAAUCCACAAGUGUUUAUUUUGUAAUUUUCAAAAUCCAUGACAACUUUAGUUAGAAAUCUGAUGUUAACACUGAGCAGUGCCCAAAAUUCAGAUUACCAGUUGGUUAAGUUCAGAUUUCAAAAACGAAUUCAGCUUAAAUUGUUUUGUGUUAGCUCUUUGCAUUAGCUGUUAGUAUUAGCUGUUAGCAUUAGCUCUUAGUAUUAGCUCUUAGAAUUAGAUGUUAGUAUUAGCUCUUGGUAUUAGCUGUUAGUAUUAGCUCUUAGAAUUAGAUGUUAGUAUUAGCUCUUAGAAUUAGCUGUUAGUAUUAGCUCUUAGUAUUAGCUGUUAGUAUUAGCUCUUAGAAUUAGAUGUUAGUAUUAGCUCUUAGUAUUAGCUCUUAGAAUUAGAUGUUAGUAUUAGCUCUUAGUAUUAGCUCUUAGAAUUAGAUGUUAGUAUUAGCUCUUAGUAUUAGCUGUUAGUAUUAGCUCUUAGAAUUAGAUGUAUUAGCUGUUAGUAUUAGCUCUUAGAAUUAGAUGUUAGUAUUAGCUGUUAGUAUUAGCUCUUAGUCUUAGCUCUUAGAAUUAGAUGUUAGUAUUAGCUCUUAGUAUUAGCUGUUUGUAUUAGCUCUUAGAAUUAGUAACAGUGACCGGCCUGACCUCUACAUAUCAGCAUUGGUAUCUGCAAAAGGAAAACCAUUAUCGGUCGACUUCUAUGCGCUUCACAACACAAUCAGUCAUUCACACGCUGGUGGUGAUGAGCUGCGAUGUAGCCACAGCUGCCUUUGGGCGCACUGACAGAGGUGAGGCCUGCUGGACACUGGCACUGACAAGAUUGCUGCCAAUAAAAGCAUGUUGAAGAAUAAUCUGGUGCCAUAAUCUGCUUUUUGGUGAAUGUGGAGCACAAGAGUGAUGACACAAAUUGUCCAGACCACAUCUACUGAACAGUCUGAGAUCAACACAGCCUUGCCCUCCAGCAUCAUCAGCAGCAGCAAGAGGAGUGACCCUGCAACAGCUACAUUGUACCCCAUCAUCAGGUAAAAUAGGACAGCAAUAGAUCAGGAGGUGGAGCAGGUUGUCCAGUAAUAAGAAGGUUGCAGGUUUGAUCCUGACUUCAAUCAGAGAUUGAUGCUGUUGUGUCCUUGGGCAAGACACUUAACCUGCUUUGCCUGCUGGUGGUGGUCGGAGGGACUGGUGGUGCCUGUGCUCAGCAGCUUCACCUCUGUCAGUGCGCUCCAGAGCAGCUAUGGCUACAUCAUAGCUCAUCACCAUGUGUGUGUGUUAAUGUGUGUGUGUGAAUGACUGAUCGUGUUGUAAUGUGCCUUGGGGGGUUGUACAACCCUAAGAAGGCAUUAUACAAAUACAGACCAUUUACCAAAACAAGUUACUUUUGCUUUACAUUGUCCUUAUGUGGUAAGGGUGUAUAUAAUGAUUCGCUUCCAUUUUGAAUUUCUAAUAAAUAUGAUUUGUUAUUCAGCCGGGUAUACUGUGGUUAUGUCAUGGUGUUUGAAAAUAUUAUUCUGUGUGCCCCUUUUUAAAUUUGAGCACCCGCCCCUUCAAAGGUCUCUGCACAGCCCUGCAGGUAACACGUGGAUUUCAGUUGUUUGUCUGAUAAGGUUGUUGCUCAUUAACAUCAGCAGCUCAUUUUGACACACAGGACUUGUGUAGGAAUGAUUCUUCUACAGCCAGCUUGCCAGAUUGAGGUCAUUCUCAGCCUUCUCAUCCAGAUGCUGCUUGAAGUUUCCAUCAUCGUUGUCAUGACCUCUGAGAGCUAGGCCCUGUUUUGCAAGCAAUUAUGUGUGCCCUACUACCAGCGUGCCUGUCAAAUGACUCCCUAGCCUUCUUCCAGUUUCUGAACCCCUGAGAAAUAAAGGACUGUAAUUGAGCCAGGGGAAGAUUUUGAACCAGCUCUCCUGGAAGUGGAGUGCGGUUCAGCAGAGUUUGUGGCUCAGUUAGCUGUGCUGCUGGUUGGUAAGGGGAACUUAGACCCUCAGCUGUAUGGAUCUCCUGGUUUGCAUGUGGAGGGUUAUCCUGCUUCCCCGCAUCAGUAGCUGAUGACUCGACCUAAAAUGUAAUUAUUCAAUUGUCAUUAGUUUCUUUACAUAGUUCUCAGAAAUGGGCUGCGCAGUGGUUAGAGCUAUUGCCUUGCAGCAAGAAGGUCCUGGGUUCGCUUCCCAGCCUGGGAUCUUUCUGCAUGGAGUUUGCAUGUUCUCCCUGUGCAUGUGUGAGUUCUCUCCGGGUUCUCCGGCUUCCUCCCACAGUCCAAAAGCAUGACUGUUAGGUUAAUUGGUCUGUCUAAAUUGUCCUUAGGUGUGUGUGUGUGUGUGCAUGAUUGUUUGUCCUGUGUGUCUCUGUGUUGCCCUGCGAUGGACUGGCUCUCUGUCCAGGGUGUACCCCGCCUACUUGCCCGUUUACUGCUGGAGAUGGCCCUGCGUGGACAAAGCGGGGUCAGAAGAUGGAUGGAGAGUUCUCAGAAAUGUUUUGAUUCUACACAGUGUUCUCCAACUGGUCUAUUGCCAUUACGUUAUAUACACAACUUACUUUUCUGUUUGUAUUUUAGUAGUAAUUGUAGUGUUGUAGAUCUGUUGUUUUAAUCAAAUCUGUUUUCUUUCCACAUAUUUGUACAAGUUGAACCAAUGCAAAGCCCUGCAAAAACUUACAUAUGUUUGCUUCCUGAACCCUCACCUGCUGAAUCUGAUCUGAGCUUGUUUCAACACUCUCCAUUUUUUCAUCCAGUGAUUGUGCUUGCUGUUAGAGUAUACCAAAGUUGGUUUCAUAUUUACUGUAAGGUUAUGUCUGAUUUUCUGUUGAUGUGAAGUUCACCUCUGCAUUCUCAGCUGCCUGUUCCAGCGUGUCUUCAUUUUCCUCUGUCGCAUGCUGUUCCUGAUAGAAAAUGGGCAAUAAAAUAAACAUUACAACUUGUGUGAUUUAAUUUUGUUUUUAUUUUGCUAAUGCAGCAUAGACUGACUUAAUUAGUUUUGGUUUUGUUGGAAAAGUUUAGGUUCUUUGGGUGUCCAUUAGUUGGUAUCCAAAAAGGAGACUCUCCUGAAGCGCUGAACUUGUGUUGUUUACUUGAAGAAAGCUUUUGACUUUAAAGUGUGUCGGUUCUAUGUGGUUAGAAAAUAUAAAUAACUUCAGCUAGGCCAAUAAGUCAAAAAGAAAAAAAAAAUAAUAUUCUGUAGAAAUAACUUAACGGUUUAAAAGAUACCCUGAAACAAAUUGGUCAGUCAUAUGGGACAAAAAUCUGAAUUUUUUUUUUUUCAAAUAUAUAAUAAAACAAAACGCUCUAAGACACAUGUGACUCUAGGGGGUGCUGAUUCCUACUGAACAAACGUGCUAUUUUUGUAUCAAUGCCAUCAAAAUCCGAUUUAAGGUUAACAGUUUUGCAAGGCUAUGGAAGGGCUGGUUAAGGUAAUGUAAGGGGCUUAGGGUCACUUUUACACCCCAAAACUUUAUUCUGAGACAUUCAUUUACACACUUCAACCUAAAAUUUUAUCCCUCUUAAUACUUUUUAAUUAUGGAUGGGUCAUUUUACAUAAUAGGACCAUUUGCUAGAUGGGGACCUAGUUGGAAUUAGUUAAACAGCACCACUCAGUGACAGGUGCAACACCUGGAUGUUAGGCUACUGCAACCUCCUUUCAGAACCAUCCACUUGAGCAGGUCGGGAGUAUAUCACAGGGCUGUGCUGUCGUGUUUAUGUAUUGUAAGUUGAAAUCUUCUGAAAAACGAUGAAAAGCAAGACAUUUCAUCAAUCUUUGAAAUCUUCGCAGAUGUCCCUAAUAGCACGAAAAGCAAAAAUGUCACGGAAAAAGAGGUUUGGUCACCUAGCAUAAACUGCAUGGUUUUUAACUGUUAUUGCUGCUAGCUAACUGUUACCAGUAGAUGAGAGAAACAUUGCCCUCUUUCAU
Molecule: non-coding RNA, 4217 nt
Organism: Nothobranchius furzeri (turquoise killifish)
Lineage: Eukaryota; Metazoa; Chordata; Actinopteri; Cyprinodontiformes; Nothobranchiidae
Source: RefSeq, a predicted model, not a curated record